GAGGGAAUGACUCCUAGUGCCAGCGUAUGGAUACAUGGGUAAGUUCAUAGAGUUUAGCUUUUAAGUGCUUUAGUCUCUUAUUUUUAUGAAAUUGUGGUUCCUCACCACCAUGAUCAACUAUUCUUGGUGGUGAGGAAUAAUAGAAGUUACUGCGAUCACCCUUUGAGAUGAAAUGUGUUUGAUUGUGUUAUCAAUUUCUCAAACUGGGAAAGUUAUCAUUGUUUUCAACAUAAAAACAGAUAAAAAA
This 247-nucleotide unclassified non-coding RNA is filed under the name Hevea brasiliensis (rubber tree). Lineage: Eukaryota; Viridiplantae; Streptophyta; Magnoliopsida; Malpighiales; Euphorbiaceae. The record is from RNAcentral.